CGGCGGACGGGUGAGUAAUGCCUAGGAAUCUGCCUGGUAGUGGGGGACAACGUUUCGAAAGGAACGCUAAUACCGCAUACGUCCUACGGGAGAAAGUGGGGGAUCUUCGGACCUCACGCUAUCAGAUGAGCCUAGGUCGGAUUAGCUAGUUGGUGGGGUAACGGCUCACCAAGGCGACGAUCCGUAGCCGACCUGAGAGGGUGAUCGGCCACACUGGAACUGAGACACGGUCCAG
Molecule: ribosomal RNA, 235 nt
Filed under: uncultured Pseudomonadales bacterium
Lineage: Bacteria; Pseudomonadati; Pseudomonadota; Gammaproteobacteria; Pseudomonadales
Description: partial 16S ribosomal RNA
Rfam family: Bacterial small subunit ribosomal RNA
Source: RNAcentral